Molecule: ribosomal RNA, 791 nt
Filed under: uncultured archaeon
Lineage: Archaea
Description: partial 16S ribosomal RNA
Source: RNAcentral
GUGCUCCCCCGCCAAUUCCUUUAAGUUUCAGUCUUGCGACCGUACUCCCCAGGCGGCAGACUUAACGGCUUCCCUGCGGCACUGAAUAGGCACGAAGCCUAUUCAUCACCGAGUCUGCAUCGUUUACAGCUGGGACUACCCGGGUAUCUAAUCCGGUUUGCUCCCCCAGCUUUCAUCCCUCACCGUCGAGUGCGUUCUGGCAAGCCGCCUUCGCCACUGGUGGUCUUCAGUGGAUCAACGGAUUUUACCCCUACCCACUAAGUACCGCUUGCCUCUCCCGCCUCCUAGCUCUAUAGUAUCCUCUGCAGCCCAUCUGUUAAGCAGAUGGAUUUAACGGAAGACUUGCAGAACCGGCUACGGAUGCUUUAGGCCCAAUAAUCGUCCCGACCACUCGGGGUGCUGGUAUUACCGCGGCGGCUGACACCAGGCUUGCCCACCCCUUAUUCUGCACCAUUUUUAGAGGUGCCAAAAGAUCUCCUUAGCGGAAAUCACUCAGAAUAACCUUGUCAAGCUUUCGCUUAUUGCAAAGGUUUCGCGCCUGCUGCGCCCCAUAGGGCCUGGGCCCUUGUCUCAGUGCCCAUCUCCGGGCUUCUCCUCUCAGAGCCCGUACCGGUUUUAGGUUUGGUGGGCCAUUACCUCACCAACAGCCUGAUCGGCCGCAGUCCAAUCCAGGGGCCAUGUAGAUUUCAGCCAUAAAUCAUUCCAGACAUUAUGACCUAUCGCGGUUUAUCCUCAGUUUCCCGAGGUUAUCCACGUCCCCUGAGCAUGUUGACUACGUGUUACUGAGCAGU